Long non-coding RNA from Helianthus annuus (common sunflower), 326 nucleotides. RefSeq lists it as uncharacterized. NCBI's taxonomy places the organism in Eukaryota, Viridiplantae, Streptophyta, Magnoliopsida, Asterales, Asteraceae. The transcript is spliced from 3 exons. The record is from RefSeq and is a predicted model, not a curated record.
CAGAGGUGAAGAAAAAGGGUGUAACCCUAAUUCACUCAAAAUCACCAAAUUAAAGGUCAAAUUUAGCUUCAAUUUGAUGCACGAACACAAAUUCGUGAUUACCCAAGCUAGGAGAUCGUAAGUUUGACUCUAAACAAGCUAGGUGGGAGCUUGGAAAGGAACGGGUCAAACGGAUCAUGGAUGCAAAAAAUGUUUGCGCGGACGCGAGGUGAAUAUCAGGAGUACUCAGAUGAAGAUCAAGCGACGUACAAGAACCGAACACAUGAAAACGAGGCUUCCACACGUUGUUUCGUCAUUAUUUUUAAACGAUGAACCCAAUCACAUUA